UACGUAGGGUGCAAGCGUUAUCCGGAAUUAUUGGGUUUAAAGGGCGUGCAGGCGGGCUUGUAAGUCAGCGGUGAAAGUUUAUGGCUUAACCAUAAAAUUGCCAUUGAUACUGCUAGUCUUGAGAAGAAUCGGCGUGGAUGGAAUGUGUGGUGUAGCGGUGAAAUGCGUAGAUAUCACACAGAACACCGAUAGUGAAGACAGUUCACGAGGUUUUUCUGACGCUCAGGCGCGAAAGCGUGGGGAGCAAACAGG
Molecule: ribosomal RNA, 252 nt
Filed under: uncultured bacterium
Lineage: Bacteria
Description: partial 16S ribosomal RNA
Rfam family: Bacterial small subunit ribosomal RNA
Source: RNAcentral